This 268-nucleotide long non-coding RNA is filed under the name Olea europaea (common olive). Its description in RNAcentral is "long non-coding RNA (OEUR_LNC012723)". The record is from RNAcentral. Lineage: Eukaryota; Viridiplantae; Streptophyta; Magnoliopsida; Lamiales; Oleaceae.
UAUUGGCUAUCAAUAAAGUACCUGCUAUGACGUUCGAGUUUUCCUCUGCAUCUUUCUGAGUCAUUGCAAAAACUCGUGCUUUCCCUUUCUGGUUCUGGUCAUUGUUAUCAUCCUUCUUCGGGGUAAAUAUGGGGCAAUCCUUAAAAAUAUGCCCUGGCUUGCCACAUCUGAAACAAACAUUCUUCCCUUGCAAACACAUGCCACGAUGCGUCUUUCCACACUUAGGACAUGGCUCUAUAACUGGCACAAUGCUCUUGUUGGCAUUGGC